UACGUAGGGGGCAAGCGUUGUCCGGAAUCUAUUGGGUCGUAAAGAGCGCGUAUGGCGGUCCGGGUAAGUCGGUUGGUGAAAACUGGGGGCUCAACCCUCAGAGGCCGACCGAUACUGUCGGGCUAGAGUCCGGAAGAGGCGAGUGGAAUUCCUGGUGUAGCGGUGAAAUGCGCAGAUAUCAGGAGGAACACCAAUGGCGAAGGCAGCUCGCUGGGACGGUACUGACGCUGGAGGCGCGAAAGCGUGGGGAGCAAACAGG
Molecule: ribosomal RNA, 259 nt
Filed under: uncultured bacterium
Lineage: Bacteria
Description: partial 16S ribosomal RNA
Rfam family: Bacterial small subunit ribosomal RNA
Source: RNAcentral